UGAAACUACAUUUCCCAGAGGCCAUGGCAGGCUUUUUGGCGUUCCUCUUAGGGCAGCUAAUUCUCCCGGCGCUAAGCAGCACGUGCGGGCUUUCGUUACGUCCAAGUCAGGCUCGGCGUGCUCCUCAGUCCUGAAGUAACGCCGGGAAGGGCAGUGACCAGCGAAAAGUUAACGCGGUUAAAGUCGGUCCGUCGCCGCGGGGAGCGGAUCGGAGGCGGUAGCGGAGGACGUAGUAAGAGACAAAGCGGCCAGGGGAGAUGAGAGACAGAGGACAGAAAACUACAGUCUGAGAAUCAGCUGUCAGCUUGAUCAAAAUUCCGAGAGCCAAGAUCAAUACUGAACCAACAAAAACAACCUGUGGACAGGAGGCUUUACUAUGAAGCAUGAGAAAAGGACUGAAAGACUAACUUUAAGGAAAUCUUUACAUCUCCUGGCAUUCUUCCCAUCAAACAAGGCCAUGUAGAAUGCACCUGCUGCUCCCUGGACUCAGAAAGGUUUCCUACAUGGCCCAUCACUUUGUGAGUUACCUGUUCAACAUACAGCUUCAAAGAGAGGCCCUCUCUGAUCACUCCUUCUACAAUAAAGCUUCUGUUAACUGA
Molecule: long non-coding RNA, 599 nt
Organism: Neogale vison (American mink)
Lineage: Eukaryota; Metazoa; Chordata; Mammalia; Carnivora; Mustelidae
Exons: 3
Source: RefSeq, a predicted model, not a curated record